This 497-nucleotide ribosomal RNA is filed under the name uncultured bacterium. RNAcentral's name for it is "partial 16S ribosomal RNA". It matches the Rfam family "Bacterial small subunit ribosomal RNA", at positions 28 to 507 of the family's 1533-position model. The record is from RNAcentral.
GAUGAACGCUGGCGGCGUGCCUAAUACAUGCAAGUCGAGCGAACAGACGAGUAGCUUGCUCCUCUGAUGUUAGCGGCGGACGGGUGAGUAACACGUGGAUAACCUACCUAUAAGACUGGGAUAACUUCGGGAAACCGGAGCUAAUACCGGAUAACAUGCUGAACCGCAUGGUUCAACAGUGAAAGACGGUCUUGCUGUCACUUAUAGAUGGAUCCGCGCCGCAUUAGCUAGUUGGUAAGGUAACGGCUUACCAAGGCAACGAUGCGUAGCCGACCUGAGAGGGUGAUCGGCCACACGAGAACUAAGACACGGGCCAGACUCCUACUGGGGGCAGCAGUAGGGAAUCUUCCGCAAUGAGCGAAAGCCUGAUGGAGCAACGCCGCGUGGGGAAAGAAGGUCUUCGGAUCGUAAAACUCUGUUAUUAGGAGAGAACAAAUGUGUAAGUAACUAUGCACGUCUUGACGGUACCUAAACAGAAAGCCACGGCUAACUACGUG